CUCAUUCCACAGGGGUGCUCCGUAUGGCCGGGGCUGAGAUGAUGGCGACAUGCCGUCGGACCCUUCAGCUGAUCUGGAUAAUACCAGCGGAGCGAGGCGGCAAUGUUUUCAG
This 112-nucleotide non-coding RNA is filed under the name Microvirga vignae. Its description in RNAcentral is "TPP sequence". It matches the Rfam family "TPP riboswitch aptamer (THI element)". From Rfam's summary of the family: Vitamin B(1) in its active form thiamin pyrophosphate (TPP) is an essential coenzyme that is synthesised by coupling of pyrimidine and thiazole moieties in bacteria. Lineage: Bacteria; Pseudomonadati; Pseudomonadota; Alphaproteobacteria; Hyphomicrobiales; Methylobacteriaceae. The record is from Rfam by way of RNAcentral.